AGUGAACGCUGGCGGUAGGCCUAACACAUGCAAGUCGAACGGCAGCACAGUAAGAGCUUGCUCUUACGGGUGGCGAGUGGCGGACGGGUGAGGAAUACAUCGGAAUCUACUUUUUCGUGGGGGAUAACGUAGGGAAACUUACGCUAAUACCGCAUACGACCUACGGGUGAAAGCAGGGGAUCUUCGGACCUUGCGCGAUUGAAUGAGCCGAUGUCGGAUUAGCUAGUUGGCGGGGUAAAGGCCCACCAAGGCGACGAUCCGUAGCUGGUCUGAGAGGAUGAUCAGCCACACUGGAACUGAGACACGGUCCAGACUCCUACGGGAGGCAGCAGUGGGGAAUAUUCGACAAUGGGCGCAAGCCUGAUCCAGCCAUACCGCGUGGGUGAAGAAGGCCUUCGGGUUGUAAAGCCCUUUUGUUGGGGAAGAAAAGCAGCAGGUUAAUACCCCGCUGUUCUGACGGUACCCAAAGAAUAAGCACCGGCUAACCUCGUG
This 492-nucleotide ribosomal RNA is filed under the name uncultured bacterium. Its description in RNAcentral is "partial 16S ribosomal RNA". It matches the Rfam family "Bacterial small subunit ribosomal RNA", at positions 29 to 507 of the family's 1533-position model. The record is from RNAcentral.